CUGAACACAGUGUUCGUGAUGAUGAGUUCAAACUCUGAGCAUUUGCUGAGUAGCAGUAGGCCAUUGUUGUUCAUUUUGCCCAAGCCGUAUUUGCCGAGCAUUCCUUUCCAUCUUUCAUGUUCCUGUCCAACGCAGGCAUUGAAGUCUCCCAGUAGUAUCAGCUUGUCAUUGGUGGGCACAGAGUGCAGGACGGCACUCAGGUCAGAGUAGAACUGCUCAAUGGUCUCCUCUGUGCUGGUCAGUGUUCAGGCAUAUGCGCUGAUGAUUGUGGCAUACUGGUCUUUGCUGAGAGGCAAAAGGAUCUUCAUGAGCCUCUCGCUGAUUCCCACAGGCAAGUCUGGCAGCUGUUUGAGCAAACUGGUCUUGAUGGCCAGGCCAACACCGUGGAUUCUGUCUUCACUUGAGGCUCUACCUUUCCAGAAGAAGGUGUAUCCAGUGGUGGGUUCGCUGAGUGAUCCCUCUUCUGUAAAAACAAACAUGAAGACCUAAAAAAGGAACCAAUCUGAAAACAAGUUGUGACAAUAUGUGUUACAGGGCUCAGACUGUGUCAUCCAGAUUAUAUGUAAAUUGGCAUUUCAAUGUCUUCAGACCCCUUUGCCCAGCUACAGGGAAAUCAGUCCAAACACACCCCAAUACAAAGUUACAUAUUAUAUCUCUGAAAAAAAUGUUGUCAUUACUGUAUCUAAAAUUAUGAAUUUACACAAUGAUAAAGACUUUACUGAAUGACCAGAGUCCAUUUGAUC
This 743-nucleotide long non-coding RNA is filed under the name Monodelphis domestica (gray short-tailed opossum). RNAcentral describes it as "lncRNA (ENSMODG00000034793.2)". The record is from RNAcentral. Lineage: Eukaryota; Metazoa; Chordata; Mammalia; Didelphimorphia; Didelphidae.